This is a long non-coding RNA of Carassius gibelio (silver crucian carp), 982 nucleotides long. RefSeq lists it as uncharacterized. The transcript is spliced from 4 exons. The record is from RefSeq and is a predicted model, not a curated record. NCBI's taxonomy places the organism in Eukaryota, Metazoa, Chordata, Actinopteri, Cypriniformes, Cyprinidae.
CGUUAUGGCAAGCCAAAAGGGUCAGAAUUACGCCUAGAUUAAACGCGUUUGCAUACAAAACGCCGUUUUUUACGGCGUUUAAAACGGUAUUAGCGCCGUCAAAUACGCCGUCCUUAUAGCAGACGCCGUAAAAAACGCGCGUAAACCGUAAAAAACGCCGCAAAAAAACGGCGUUUUAGUGUUUGUAAAAAGCGCCGCUUUUAACUCCAUCGGCUUGCCACAGGACGCCGUAAAAAACGCCGUUCUGAAUGCACAAAAGCGCGCGUUAUUUACGGCGUUUUCCUUGUAGUAUAAUGAGCCACGCCCGCUGAUUUCCACAGCCAGUAAUAAUGAACUGUUCUCACCCAAUCAAUGAUGACCUGACUCAGACCAGACUAGUUUACAUCCGAGUUCGAUUGUUAUUUUAAUCACUCGAUUGGUUGGUUGGUUGAUAUGAAGAUGGCCAGGAGAAUCUUUAUUUUGCGUUGUCAGCAGAAGCUGAACAAUUGCACUCGACAGCUGACAGAAGAUUCUGGUGUACUACAAUCAACUUUAGUGAGGCUAGAAACAAUGUAGAGAAGCAUUGAAUGGGCGAGAGGAAGGCUGAUCACUGCACCAGAAGCAGACGGGUUACUCCAAGAUCUCAAUGAAUAUAUAGCAGAGGUACAAAAGCAUAGGCAGCAUGGACAACAAGCCAGUUCCAGUUAUCAGGCUCCACUCUGAUCGAGGUGCACCCCAUUACAGCAUCACCAGAGAGCAACUUUCCUUUCUGAGGACAUGUGGUUUUAGUCUUCCUUCAAUAGCAGAGAUUCUGCAAGUGUCUCUGGCUACCGUCAAACGCCGCAUGGAAGAGAUUCCAUUUGAAUCGCUCUCUGACUUAAUCUGAAAUAACCGAUGUAGAUCACAGACAUUGUGGAUGGAAAUGACCAGCUGGGAUCGGAGGCUGUCAGGGCACAGUUACGGGCAGGUGGAAAUCGUGUACAAAGACACAGAGUACGCAGGA